This 554-nucleotide long non-coding RNA is filed under the name Homo sapiens (human). RNAcentral's name for it is "non-protein coding lnc-DCTD-23:1". Lineage: Eukaryota; Metazoa; Chordata; Mammalia; Primates; Hominidae. The record is from RNAcentral.
CUCCAGCCUCCACCACCACAGUAGCUGGGACUACAGCUGUCACAUCUACCUGCGGAAUUCACCUUAUACCUUAGAGAGAGGCUGCAGUCAGUGACAGCUGAUGGGAAAUGCAUCUGUUCCUUUGAGUAAUUCAGCAACAUCAUUACUUCUCAGAAAUGAUAAUUUCUCGCCGGGCGCAGUGCUCACGUCUGUAAUCCCAGCACUUUGGGAGGCCAAGGCGGGCGGAUCACGAGGUCAAGAAAUCGAGACCAGCCUGGCCAACAUGGUGAAACCCCAUCUCUACUAAAAAUACAAAAAUUAGCUGGGCGUGGUGGCGCAUGCCUGUAAUGUCAGCUACCCAGGAGGCUGAGGCAGGAGAAUUGCUUGAACCCGGAAGGUGGAGGCUACAGUGAGCAAAGAUCUCGCACCACUGUACUGCAGCCUGGCGGCAGAGCCAGACUCUGUCUCGCAAAAAAAAAUAAAAAAUAAUAAUAAAAAAAAGAUGAUUUCUCUUCUUCUUUCUCGAGUUCUGUUUGUGCAGCAGUAGUGACACUAAUCACAACUUUAAAGCAAAC